GAUGAACGCUGGCGGCGUGCCUAAUACAUGCCAGUCGAGCGAACGGACGAGAAGCUUGCUUUUCUGAUGUUAGCGGCGGACGGGUGAGUAACACGUGGAUAACCUACCUAUAAGACUGGGAUAACUUCGGGAAACCGGAGCUAAUACCGGAUAAUAUUUUGAACCGCAUGGUUCAAAAGUGAAAGACGGUCUUGCUGUCACUUAUAGAUGGAUCCGCGCUGCAUUAGCUAGUUGGUAAGGUAACGGCUUACCAAGGCAACGAUGCAUAGCCGACCUGAGAGGGUGAUCGGCCACACUGGAACUGAGACACGGUCCAGACUCCUACGGGAGGCAGCAGUAGGGAAUCUUCCGCAAUGGGCGAAAGCCUGACGGAGCAACGCCGCGUGAGCGAUGAAGGUCUUCGGAUCGUAAAACUCUGUUAUUAGGGAAGAUCAUAUGUGUAAGUAACUGUGCACAUCUUGACGGUACCUAAUCAGAAAGCCACGGCUAACUACGUG
Molecule: ribosomal RNA, 497 nt
Filed under: uncultured bacterium
Lineage: Bacteria
Description: partial 16S ribosomal RNA
Rfam family: Bacterial small subunit ribosomal RNA
Source: RNAcentral